UCCCUGGUAGUAUAUCGGUUAGUACACGCGCCUGUCAUACUGCAAUGGUCGCGCGAAAGCUGGGUUCGACUCCCAGCCAGGGAG
Molecule: transfer RNA, 84 nt
Filed under: Lentinula raphanica
Lineage: Eukaryota; Fungi; Basidiomycota; Agaricomycetes; Agaricales; Omphalotaceae
Description: tRNA-Asp
Rfam family: tRNA
About the family: Transfer RNA (tRNA) molecules are approximately 80 nucleotides in length. Their secondary structure includes four short double-helical elements and three loops (D, anti-codon, and T loops).
Source: RNAcentral